AUUGAACGCUGGCGGCAUGCUUUACACAUGCAAGUCGAACGGUAACAGGCCGCAAGGUGCUGACGAGUGGCGAACGGGUGAGUAAUGCAUCGGAACGUGCCCAGUCGUGGGGGAUAACUAUCCGAAAGGAUAGCUAAUACCGCAUACGAUCUGCGGAUGAAAGCGGGGGACCUUCGGGCCUCGCGCGAUUGGAGCGGCCGAUGUCAGAUUAGGUAGUUGGUGGGGUAAAGGCUCACCAAGCCAACGACAUGUAGCUGGUCUGAGAGGACGACCAGCCACACUGGGACUGAGACACGGCCCAGACUCCUACGGGAGGCAGCAGUGGGGAAUUUUGGACAAUGGGCGCAAGCCUGAUCCAGCAAUGCCGCGUGCAGGAAGAAGGCCUUCGGGUUGUAAACUGCUUUUGUACGGAACGAAACGGCUCUGGUUAAUACCUGGGGCUAAUGACGGUACCGUAAGAAUAAGCACCGGCUAACUACGUGCCAGCCGCCGCGGUAA
This 498-nucleotide ribosomal RNA is filed under the name uncultured bacterium. RNAcentral's name for it is "partial 16S ribosomal RNA". It matches the Rfam family "Bacterial small subunit ribosomal RNA", at positions 30 to 523 of the family's 1533-position model. The record is from RNAcentral.